This 498-nucleotide ribosomal RNA is filed under the name uncultured bacterium. Its description in RNAcentral is "bacterial SSU rRNA". It matches the Rfam family "Bacterial small subunit ribosomal RNA", at positions 253 to 763 of the family's 1533-position model. The record is from RNAcentral.
UGAGGUAAUGGCUCACCAAGGCGACGACGGGUAGCCGGCCUGAGAGGGCGACCGGCCACACUGGGACUGAGACACGGCCCAGACUCCUACGGGAGGCAGCAGUGGGGAAUAUUGCACAAUGGGCGAAAGCCUGAUGCAGCGACGCCGCGUGAGGGAUGACGGCCUUCGGGUUGUAAACCUCUUUCAGCAGGGAAGAAGCGAAAGUGACGGUACCUGCAGAAGAAGCGCCGGCUAACUACGUGCCAGCAGCCGCGGUAAUACGUAGGGCGCAAGCGUUGUCCGGAAUUAUUGGGCGUAAAGAGCUCGUAGGCGGCUUGUCACGUCGGGUGUGAAAGCCCGGGGCUUAACCCCGGGUCUGCAUUCGAUACGGGCUAGCUAGAGUGUGGUAGGGGAGAUCGGAAUUCCUGGUGUAGCGGUGAAAUGCGCAGAUAUCAGGAGGAACACCGGUGGCGAAGGCGGAUCUCUGGGCCAUUACUGACGCUGAGGAGCGAAAGCGUG